This 722-nucleotide ribosomal RNA is filed under the name uncultured Fusobacterium sp. Its description in RNAcentral is "bacterial SSU rRNA". It matches the Rfam family "Bacterial small subunit ribosomal RNA", at positions 28 to 776 of the family's 1533-position model. Lineage: Bacteria; Fusobacteriati; Fusobacteriota; Fusobacteriia; Fusobacteriales; Fusobacteriaceae. The record is from RNAcentral.
GAUGAACGCUGACAGAAUGCUUAACACAUGCAAGUCAACUUGAACUUCGGUUUGGGUGGCGGACGGGUGAGUAACGCGUAAAGAACUUGCCUCACAGAUAGGGACAACAUUUGGAAACGAAUGCUAAUACCUGAUAUUAUGAUUUUAGGGCAUCCUAGGAUUAUGAAAGCUAUAUGCACUGUGAGAGAGCUUUGCGUCCCAUUAGCUAGUUGGAGAGGUAACGGCUCACCAAGGCGAUGAUGGGUAGCCGGCCUGAGAGGGUGAUCGGCCACAAGGGGACUGAGACACGGCCCUUACUCCUACGGGAGGCAGCAGUGGGGAAUAUUGGACAAUGGACCAAGAGUCUGAUCCAGCAAUUCUGUGUGCACGAUGAAGUUUUUCGGAAUGUAAAGUGCCUUCAGUUGGGAAGAAAAAAAUGACGGUACCAACAGAAGAAGUGACGGCUAAAUACGUGCCAGCAGCCGCGGUAAUACGUAUGUCACAAGCGUUAUCCGGAUUUAUUGGGCGUAAAGCGCGUCUAGGUGGUUAUGUAAGUCUGAUGUGAAAAUGCAGGGCUCAACUCUGUAUUGCGUUGGAAACUGUGUAACUAGAGUACUGGAGAGGUAAGCGGAACUACAAGUGUAGAGGUGAAAUUCGUAGAUAUUUGUAGGAAUGCCGAUGGGGAAGCCAGCUUACUGGACAGAUACUGACGCUGAAGCGCGAAAGCGUGGGUAGCAAACAGG